GUGGGGAUGUGGCUCAAGCGGUAGCGCGCUCACCUGGCUUGCGUGCGGCCUGGGUUCAAUCCUCAGCACCACA
RNAcentral lists this transfer RNA (73 nucleotides) under Marmota monax (woodchuck). Its description in RNAcentral is "tRNA.Ala". Lineage: Eukaryota; Metazoa; Chordata; Mammalia; Rodentia; Sciuridae. The record is from RNAcentral.